Long non-coding RNA from Rhipicephalus sanguineus (brown dog tick), 410 nucleotides. RefSeq lists it as uncharacterized. The record is from RefSeq and is a predicted model, not a curated record. NCBI's taxonomy places the organism in Eukaryota, Metazoa, Arthropoda, Arachnida, Ixodida, Ixodidae. The transcript has 4 exons.
UUGCCAUCUGCGCAACUAAGAAGCUUUUUCUCUUGAGAAGAUUUCCGUGUAUACCUUCGUGCUUUAAAUGUGUGUAUGGCAAUUUUGUAUAGAUUGACGGAUGGAUGCCGCGAGCGUCUCCUUUAUGACGGGGUAGUAGCUGUCCUGAAUGUGGCUACUAAACAUAAGCCACUGAAACACUCCAGCGUACGUUACAUCAGCGCUAUAGAACAAGUUCGCAGUGGAACCUCGGCAACUCGUGAAGGCCGGAGACAAGUUGCAACAACUUCCAAGCUACGGAAGGGAAUGCCGACAUUCACACCACGGCAGUCUUCAAGCUGACGACGAACAUCACAGUUACGAAAAAGCGGAAAUUUUAUCCACAAAGUAACAGCUUCCCAGCAGAAAUACACGGGCCCAGUUAAGGCACU